RNAcentral lists this ribosomal RNA (467 nucleotides) under uncultured bacterium. RNAcentral describes it as "partial 16S ribosomal RNA". It matches the Rfam family "Bacterial small subunit ribosomal RNA", at positions 28 to 507 of the family's 1533-position model. The record is from RNAcentral.
GAUGAACGCUGACAGAAUGCUUAACACAUGCCAGUCAACUUGAAUUUGGGUUUUUAACUUAGGUUUGGGUGGCGGACGGGUGAGUAACGCGUAAAGAACUUGCCUCACAGCUAGGGACAACAUUUGGAAACGAAUGCUAAUACCUAAUAUUAUGAUAAUAGGGCAUCCUAUAAUUAUGAAAGCUAUAAGCGCUGUGAGAGGGCUUUGCGUCCCAUUAGCUAGUUGGAGAGGUAACGGCUCACCAAGGCGAUGAUGGGUAGCCGGCCUGAGAGGGUGAUCGGCCACAAGGGGACGGAGACACGGCCCUUACUCCUACGGGAGGCAGAAGGGGGGAAUAUUGGACAAUGGACCGAGAGUCUGAUCCAGCAAUUCUGUGUGCACGAUGAAGUUUUUCGGAAUGUAAAGUGCUUUCAGUUGGGAAGAAGCAAAUGACGGUACCAACAGAAGAAGUGACGGCUAAAUACGUG